AUGCAAGUCGAACGGAAAGGCCCUUCGGGGUACUCGAGUGGCGAACGGGUGAGUAACACGUGGGUGAUCUGCCCUGCACUUUGGGAUAAGCCUGGGAAACUGGGUCUAAUACCGAAUAUGACCACGCGCUUCAUGGUGUGUGGUGGAAAGCUUUUGCGGUGUGGGAUGGGCCCGCGGCCUAUCAGCUUGUUGGUGGGGUAAUGGCCUACCAAGGCGACGACGGGUAGCCGGCCUGAGAGGGUGACCGGCCACACUGGGAAUGAGAUACGGCCCAGACUCCUACGGGAGGCAGCAGUGGGGAAUAUUGCACAAUGGGCGCAAGCCUGAUGCAGCGACGCCGCGUGAGGGAUGACGGCCUUCGGGUUGUAAACCUCUUUCAAUAGGGACGAAGCGCAAGUGACGGUACCUAUAGAAGAAGGACCGGCCAACUACGUGCCAGCAGCCGCGGUAAUACGUAGGGUCCGAGCGUUGUCCGGAAUUACUGGGCGUAAAGAGCUCGUAGGUGGUUUGUCGCGUUGUUCGUGAAAACUCACAGCUUAACUGUGGGCGUGCGGGCGAUACGGGCAGACUAGAGUACUGCAGGGGAGACUGGAAUUCCUGGUGUAGCGGUGGAAUGCGCAGAUAUCAGGAGGAACACCGGUGGCGAAGGCGGGUCUCUGGGCAGUAACUGACGCUGAGGAGCGAAAGCGUGGGGAGCGAACAGGAUUAGAUACCCUGGUAGUCCACGCCGUAAACGGUGGGUACUAGGUGUGGGUUUCCUUCCUUGGGAUCCGUGCCGUAGCUAACGCAUUAAGUACCCCGCCUGGGGAGUACGGCCGCAAGGCUAAAACUCAAAGGAAUUGACGGGGGCCCGCACAAGCGGCGGAGCAUGUGGAUUAAUUCGAUGCAACGCGAAGAACCUUACCUGGGUUGACAUG
This 917-nucleotide ribosomal RNA is filed under the name Mycolicibacterium fortuitum. RNAcentral's name for it is "bacterial SSU rRNA". It matches the Rfam family "Bacterial small subunit ribosomal RNA", at positions 55 to 988 of the family's 1533-position model. The record is from RNAcentral. Lineage: Bacteria; Bacillati; Actinomycetota; Actinomycetes; Mycobacteriales; Mycobacteriaceae.